UGUAGGCGAGUUGCAGCCUACAAUCCGAACUGAGAAUGGUUUUAUGGGAUUGGCUAAACCUCGCGGUCUUGCAGCCCUUUGUACCAUCCAUUGUAGCACGUGUGUAGCCCAGGUCAUAAGGGGCAUGAUGAUUUGACGUCAUCCCCACCUUCCUCCGGGUUUGUCACCGGCAGUCACCUUAGAGUGCCCAACUAAAUGCUGGCAACUAAGAUCAAGGGGUUGCGCUCGUGCGGGACUUAACCCAACAUCUCACGACACGAGCUGACGACAACCAUGCACCACCUGUCACUCUGUCCCCGAAGGGAAAAGUCCUAUCUCUAGGAUUGACAGAGGAUGUCAAGACCUGGUAANGGUCUUCGCGUUGCUUCGAAUUAAACCACAUGCUCCACCGCUUGUGCGG
Molecule: ribosomal RNA, 400 nt
Filed under: uncultured Bacillus sp.
Lineage: Bacteria; Bacillati; Bacillota; Bacilli; Caryophanales; Bacillaceae
Description: partial 16S ribosomal RNA
Source: RNAcentral